This is a long non-coding RNA of Carya illinoinensis, 1487 nucleotides long. RefSeq lists it as uncharacterized. The record is from RefSeq and is a predicted model, not a curated record. The transcript has 5 exons. NCBI's taxonomy places the organism in Eukaryota, Viridiplantae, Streptophyta, Magnoliopsida, Fagales, Juglandaceae.
GAUAGUCGGGAAUUGCAACUGCGGGAGAAUCAUCCAAUAAAAUAUGCCAUGUUAGCCGAGUGUUUAUAAAUAAAAAAGAAAAAAAGAGAGACCCAAAUAGAAAUAGAAGAUAAAUGCAGAGUAGAGAUAAUCUUUUUCUUGCUCUUCGCUGAUGGGUGUCUUCAUUAUCCAAGGGAUCGAAUGCUUUGGAGCUUCUCUUUGUCGUUGGCUAGUGAGCUUAUCAUUGCCGUCGUACUAAGCUAAAAGCAUAAUACCUUGUCUUCACCGUCGCUCAAACCCGAGCUUCCAUUGUAUUCCAUAGCACAGUAAGUCAAAUGGAAAGAUACCUCCUCUUUGUCAGAGCUAAAGACUAUCUUCAUUAAAGGAUGAGCUAACUUCAUAGAGCUUGUUGUCGACAAGUUGUUGCACAUUGAGGCCAGGAAAAAGCAAGGAAUAAAUCUGCUACACUUCAUCUCUCUUAGUUGGCAAAUCUAAUCGCCGAAGUGAGAGAACGUUUAAGUGACUUUUUGGCAUUUGAGAAUGGGUUUACUACUGGAGAAUUAAACUGUUGCCGUAAAUUUAUUCAACAUGGAGCUAUUGCCGCGAUACCGGUUCGCUGCAAUAAAGUUGGGCCAGGGGCGUCUGCACUUAGCGCUGCAAUAAGCGUCUGGGAGAGCUAUUACGGCGAAAUAUCUAGCGCCGCAACAAACAGGGGUAUUUAAUUGAGAUGAUGCGAUGGUCACCCUAGCUGCAGCAGAUUUUCCCCAAAUUUCUCCCCUGCUACGCCGACGAUUCCAUCUUGACGAGUAGCUGCACCGUCGGUCGUCAGGCCGUCGCCUUUGCUGCCGGAGUCGUCUCCGAUACCUGGCUGCCCCAGUACCUUGAUUCGGCAUGCUCCCCACCGUGUUGCCAUAGCAGCCGGCCAUCCUAUUUUCAGCCAACGCAACUCUGAAAAAUGGACAAGAAUUAGAUGCACGUGCCAAAUAGGUUUACCUCACGUGAAUAUGGUGAAGGGAUUAACACUCUCCUCACCAUGGCAAAGACCCAUGCACCUGGACAAACUACCAUAAGGUGUCCAUGUCGGAGAUGCCGAAAUAACCUAUUCCUACCAUUCAAUGAAGUUGAAGAUCAUCUAUUCACGAUAGGUGUUAUCCUUCAUGUGGCCUAAGUGGGAAAAUGUAUGAAUCGUUUGCUGAUCAUCGCUUCCAGCAAGGUCAACCACAAAUUUGUACUGGGGAAUUUUCACUUCUUGUAGUUGGCUUCACAGUAAUGGCGUGAGAGCUCAAGGAACUAUUGUUGUACUGGGGAGGCUUUAUUGUAUUUCCUAGUGUUGUAAACUGCUUGUACGAUGAAAAAAGGGAAACCCUUUCAUGUUGAAUGCUUCAAAUUAUUUAAAUAUGUAUUCAUGUAGGCAAUGGUCUGAUUCGAGUACUCCCCAAGAUUUUGAACUUGCUUAUGGUUCAUGAAUUGAAAAUAUGGAUUAUGCAGGGAUGUAUUAUUAAAUUGCA